AUCUUCAGGGCGGGGUGUGAUUCCCCACCGGCGGUAAAGCCCGCGAGCCGAAAGGCAUGAUUCGGUGAAAUUCCGAGGCCGACAGUAUAGUCUGGAUGGAAGAAGAU
Molecule: non-coding RNA, 107 nt
Filed under: uncultured Dysosmobacter sp.
Lineage: Bacteria; Bacillati; Bacillota; Clostridia; Eubacteriales; Oscillospiraceae
Description: FMN riboswitch (RFN element)
Rfam family: FMN riboswitch aptamer (RFN element)
About the family: The RFN element is a highly conserved domain that is found frequently in the 5'-untranslated regions of prokaryotic mRNAs that encode for flavin mononucleotide (FMN) biosynthesis and transport proteins.
Source: RNAcentral